Long non-coding RNA from Brassica napus (rape), 4115 nucleotides. RefSeq lists it as uncharacterized. The record is from RefSeq and is a predicted model, not a curated record. The transcript has 3 exons. NCBI's taxonomy places the organism in Eukaryota, Viridiplantae, Streptophyta, Magnoliopsida, Brassicales, Brassicaceae.
CUUGUUGGGAUUGAGCUUAAACAUCAUCUUUUUUUUUAUCUCUUCAGGAGUUGGGAGCAGUAGCAUUUGGGUGCACUCAGCAGGAGUGACAGCGUGAUUUAGAAGCCCUCGGAACCAUUCAGGGGAGGAGAUAAGUAUUGGAGGUGAAUAGACUGGCCCCAAAACUGACCCGAAGUGAGAGACAGCUAGUAGACUCAUUUCCACAGGGUCUGUUAUCCAAACCCCCAAGCCAUUUAAGAAAGCUCGGAUUGCAUUAUAGCUUGAUCUUACUUGGCAAAUCCUGUGGAAGUCUCUCUCAGCUUGGAAGUUUAUGGUGCUUGGGUUCUGCAGCGCCUGGACCUGCACAAUUUGGAGCAAACUCUUCCAGCACAACUGAGACAAAGUAUGGCAGACGCUUCCAGCAUGAAUCCAUGCAUCAAUGAUCAACUGAGCGAACCCGGGUGCUUUGUGAGGUAAUUUUGGAACUUAUAAGGAUAGGUACCAGCUUUAGGUAGGGAGAGCGCAAGGUUCAUUAGGCAGGGGGUAUGAUUAGAUAUGUCAGGAGGUAGAAAGGAGGCGACGGCAUGGGGGUAGGCUGAGAUAGUGGUGUUGUUGACUAAAAAACGGUCUAGCUUCUUUGCAAUAGGGCCUUCUGGUUGAUUAUUUGACCAGGUGUGACAUGGUCCAAGAUAGCGUAGAUCAAAUAGACCAGUUUGAAGGAAGCAGUCUUGCAUUUGAUACAUGAGGUUGUCUGUAAAGUCAACUGAUGGGCUUGAGUGUUCCAGGGGGAAUAGAAUUUAGUUCAGAUCACCACCCACAACCCAAUUUUUGCUAUCAAGAUCUAGUGUUGAGUGUAUCUGAAAAAGAUCAUUCCACAAAUCAGCUCUUUCAUCACUUUGGUUUGAAGCGUAGAUAGAUGUGUAGUAAAUAAGAGCGAGGUUUGGAAUGGAGAUCAAGCAUGUUAAGUGUUGUCUUGAUUGAGAUAAGUGCUGAACAACAAGCGGGUCCUUCCAAAUAAGAAUUAUUCGACCAUCAGGGUCUGAGAGAUGAUUCGAUAGGUAUUUCCAACCAAGGAAGAGCUUAGAAAGAAUAGGGCUUAGUGACGGUUCUUUUAUAUGAGUUUCGAGCAGGGCACCAAAAAGGGGCUUUUGAAUAUUUAGCUAAUCUACAAAAGGUUUGUGCUUAUCCGGGUCAUUUAGGCCACAGACGUUCAAAAAAAAAGAGUUUUACACUCAUUGGGAAGGGUUAGUAGGGUCCUCAUGAGGAGGCCCCAGAGAACCAAAAGAAAAAGUUGAUUUUGUGGGUUUGGGUCAGGGGUUUUUGGUACAGGGUGUUUGGAAGGAUAGAUUGGGAGAUUUAAUGGAGGUAAUGGAGAGUUUUGGAUAUCAAUGAAAGGGUUGGGAAAAGAACUAGAUGGAGGAGAUAAAACAGAGGAGGAACGAGAACACUUUAAGGACAGUCUAAGGAUGGGAUCAGGCAAGGAUAAAAGCAUUGUGUCACUGAUAGGUUGGGGUGGGUCAUGGGUUAAAGAAGGGCCAUGAAGGAAAGAGUUAGUUUGAGUAAGUUUUGAGGUUGAGGGAGUGUCGAUGGGAAUUGUAACAAUGGGCAAAAAUGAUUCAGGGCCUGAAGAAGAAACCAUAAUUGAUUUCUUUUUAGGAACAGGUUGGUAUCUUUUCUGGUUUUUUUCUGGAGGCUUUUGAGGGAGUAAAGUUUGACUGAGCAGGAUUGGUCUUUUCGGGAGUUGCUUUCGGUUUAAAGGUUUAUUUUUGUUUAGAGGCUGAAGCUUCCCCAUUUUCAGGUGCUGGAGGAGUGUAACUAAGGCAAUUCCGCAUGAUAUGACCUAACUCGUGACAGUGAGAACAAGUUGGGGGACCCAAGGAUAGUGAACUAGCACUUCCACAACUUCUCCAUUUUCCCUCUCAAAUUCGACAACAGGAGGCAAAGGUAAUGUUAGAUCAACUUCAACCUUCACAUGAGAUACUGAGAGGCUAACCAUAUUCUUUGUGAAUUCGUCUGUCUCUUUAGGUUCGCCAAUAAGGCCUGCUACCAAGCUCAGUCCCUCGUCGUAGCGAAGAUCAAGAGGUACCCCAGUGAGGUGUGCCCAAAUUUGGAUAGCUUUUAGUGGAGGAGUGCUCAUGGAAUGGUUAGAGUUCCAUUGAGCCGUGUGAAACAUAGAUUCACCAACAUACCAUAUGUUUUUCUCCAAAAUCUUCUGUCUGAGGUAAGGGCUUUGAAUACGCACAAUAACAGAAUGAUUCAACGGGUUGUUGUGUAUCUCAGGGCGCUUGCCUUUUCCCCACAUGUAGUUAAUACGCUUUGUAUUUGGUUGUAGGGAGGUGACCUCCCGUUGAAGUAACAUAUGAUGAAGUCUUGAUGAAUCUCUGCUCCCUUUUUGAAGACAGAGUCUGGGAUUACAACACGAGGCCGACCAGAGGGAGCUAUGGUUACAGGAGCAAGUCACUUCAGGGACAUAUCAGCAGAGGCGCGAAGCUUCUCUACUAAGGAUUGAGUUGGGAAGGAGUCUUUUGCUAGAGGGGAGGAGGUAGUGAUAGGUUUUGGCUUGGCUGGAAUGAGAUUUAAGGGCUGAGUAUGGUUAGGAGAGGAUGCUUUAUUGGUUUGGAUAGGGGAGGAUUCUUGAGGGGGAAUGAUUGAGAAGGUCCGAUUUGGAUUUGGUUCAGUGAGUUCAGAAGGGACUGUAGCAGAAUCAGAUCUAGAUUCUGAAACAGUACCAACAGUUGGUGAGGUUGAGUUGUUGCUCUAAGUCCAUUGGAAUGGUUUCAGAGGAGGUAGUCGUUGUUUCAAGUUUCUUCUCUGCAAUAGAAGCAAUAGUAAUCGAAGGUAAAGAGUUCUUACGAGACCCCUUGCGGGAGCAAGAUAAGACAGUUUUGGGAGUGGCUUCAGCUAAAGAUGGGAAGUUAACAGGGGACAGGGGUGAGGUUGGGUCGGGAGGCUCAGGUGAGAGGGAUAGAGGGAGGUUCGCCAGGAGCAAACACCGGUGGAUUCAUGCCGGAAGAGACACCAGGGACUUGCCGGGCAGACGCAAAAGAUUUUUCUCUUUACACACUAAAACUACAUGAUUACUUUUUUUUUUUUUAACUACAUGAUUACUUCCACUAUAGUUACUACUAUAAUCAUUUUCCCUAACCAGGAAAGUAAAUUUAUACAAGACUGGCUCUCCACUCACCGUAGCCUUGCCCCUUGGCCAUAGAUCUCGGUGACGGCUAUGUUUUCAGUGAGAAACUCUUCAUUUCUAAUAUUUUUUAAAAAAAUAUCCACAUGAGAACCUUCCAGUAAAAAUGCUUUAAAUCAAUUAGCUAAUUAAUCAUUGAAACCAUGCAUGGGUAAGUACGAAAAUGUUUAACUAAUCCACAAUUUACCCGAAAUAGAUAAUAUACAGAUUUGAAAACAUAUAAUUUCUAGGGCUUCCGCAAAAUCUAGAAAGAAGAUUUCAUCACCAUGUGGUCUAGAUAUCAUUAAUCGCACACUUUCUGUAUUUUAAGUUUUUAACUACUACUAUCUCGACAUAAAAUCUCAUAUAUGGGUUCCUUCAUAUACUUUUUAGCAUCUCUAUGUACGUUGGCCAGAUGGUAAUCAUAAUAAAUAAGUAAUAAAAUAGACAUACAUCACGUGAACCAUGUGGUGUAGGUAUCAUUCAUCGCAUACAUAUAAUAAAUAAACCCAUUAUGAAUUUUAAUUAUUACUGUCUCGACAGAAAAUCUCAUGGGAAUUGCUAUAUUGUUGUAAAUUAGAGAGUUUAGAGACCGAAUAUUUCUGUGUUAUUAUUAAUGAUCAAGUGGGUUCCUUUAUAUAAGGAUUACAAGAUGAAGAUAAAUGGAAAGUAUCCAAAACCUAAACUCACUAGGAUUAGGAAAACUACUAAUACAUAAUAAUGGAAAGAUUACAUAUACUAGGAAAAGGAUAUGGUUUCUUUUUCUCCAAGCUUUGUGGCCGUCUCUCUCUCCUAAAGUCGGCUCUCUCUCUCCUCUUUCUAGGGCUUCGGCCGUCUCUCAAUCUUCUAGGUAUUGAGCCGGUUUUGGACCGAGCCUGGUUAAUGGCAAUCCACUCCAUGAUUUAUAACACUCCCUCUUGGAUGCCAUAACCAUACAAGAUUUGUAGUACGCUUCAUGUUGCCUCAU